GCGCCACUAGCUCAACAGGUAGAGCAACUGACUCUUAAUCAGUGUGUUCGGGGUUCGAUUCCCCGGUGGCGCAC
Molecule: transfer RNA, 74 nt
Filed under: Winogradskya humida
Lineage: Bacteria; Bacillati; Actinomycetota; Actinomycetes; Micromonosporales; Micromonosporaceae
Description: Actinoplanes humidus tRNA-Lys
Rfam family: tRNA
About the family: Transfer RNA (tRNA) molecules are approximately 80 nucleotides in length. Their secondary structure includes four short double-helical elements and three loops (D, anti-codon, and T loops).
Source: RNAcentral